CUUCAUGGCUACUUGCUGGGCCACGACAGUUGCGUUUUUUCGCUCAGGAUUGUUUGCAGUAUCUUUUCCCCAGGGCCUCAAGGUAAGGCAUACCAGAUAUGCUUCUGUGCUUUCUCUUCCACCCUAACCCCACUCUCAUUCUGCGCACACCGAGUAAAUGAUCACAGCAGCUCCUUGAUGACCAGGCUUGCCUUACAUAAAGCUGGCUGGGUUUCUCAGAGGCCCUUCCACCGCUUCAUGUUUGACUACACUGUGCUGCCUCAGUCUCUAUUCCUGCCAGUUUACUUCUUUCUUUAAUUGUUUCUGACUAAGAGGAAUGUGGGACAACAUCCGAGGCCAGCCAGGACAGGAUGCCAAGAAAAGGAGGGGGGGUAUUAAAAGGUUAGACUACGCACUGCUUCUCUUGGGAGAAAAUUCAAGCCUAAGGGAUAAGGGGGUUUCCAUUCGGCCUCACAGCCAGAUUGCUCCAGCAAAAGAGUUUGAGUUCACUGAACUGACCGGGCCUGAUAUGGAUUUGAGCAACCAGUGCAGAGUUUUGCCACAUUCCAGGACCUCAGAACUGGGUGGCCUGGUCUGCAUAUCAUGCAAAACAUUUGCCGUUGAUGCAAAACUUUUAUUCCGAUAUUGUAUGGGAAAUGCACUUUAUGAGUUUUUAACAUUAAAAAAUGAAAUGCGUCUGCGUGCCAUUCAAUCGAGCGUGAGGCUUCUGCCUUCAGUUAAAUGCUGGAUUUGGGCCUGGGGAAAUUAAACUUUGCUGUGACCUCGGGUGAAUUGGGGGUGGCAGUAUUUGGGACUGGAAAUUCAAAGCAACCAUGUAGAGCAAGUGAACAGAAGGGGCGCGAUGUGGGUGAUCAAAGAGAAAAACUGGCUGUCAUAAACCAGUAACAAAUAUUCUGAGAAGUGAUCCUGCAGAGACUGUGUAGAGAAUAUUCACCCAAGGGAUUUCCAUUUUACCCAGUUUUUUUCUCAACUGUAUCAUCCCUUACACAGCACAGACUGAUGGUAACAGCUAAUAUGAUAUUAGUAAAAUAUGUACCAGAUUCUGUAUUUAAUGCUAGUAACCGCGAUUCAGUUUGAAUCAUGCUUAGAAAGGUAUUUCCAUGACUAGUUGCAUUAGACUGUACAUGGGGCUGUGCAUUCCAGAUGGUAGUAAUGUAAAUGGGAUAGUGCAGGCAUGUCCAAAGUCCGUUUCGGGGGCUUAAUCUGGCCCGCAGGUCGGUUUAAUCCGGCCCCUGUGGCAGUUUAUUUCCUGGCCCUCUUUGAAAAAAGUUUGGACACCACUGGGAUAGUGGAUAGAUGGCACUUGGACUCAGAUGUACAGUGUGAUGCAUAUUUGAGCACACAUCAGAUUUACAGCAUCUGAUGCACAGCAGAUGAUAACCCCGCAGAGGCCUGCUUACAUGAGCCGAUCGCCUGAUGCUGGAUGAGGGCAUUUGUUUUAGCUGGAAUUAGAUAAGCAUUAUUUGUGCAUGCCUUCAAAUAUGUGCUUCCAUUUUUCGUGGCAAUAAAGAACAAAAGAAGGCCAGAUGCGACCUGCUAGCUUCUGUUUCUUCCUCAUGUUGCCAUAACCGAAAUAAGCAUUCCGAAAACCACAAACACGGUCUGCAAAGAGCAGAGGACGGGACAUUGUGCAGAGGAGCUAUUAACAAGAUAGGUGGUCCAAAGAGUAUAAACAAGUACAAAUCAUGCUAGGUCACGCAUAGCGAAGAGCAUCUGGAACUUGGAAAUGUUAGCUCUUUCUCUUUCCUAACAUUUUUAGACAAGUUUCUCCAAAGAGUCUCACGCACCUGCCAGUCAUUUGGCCGGACUUUGAUUACUGCUAACAGUGAGUAGGAACAGAAUAGCCUGUGUUUCAUCUCUCACCAGAAAACCACUAGGCUCUAGGGGGAGAGAGAAACAUGUGGGGAGGGAUCCAGCAAGAGUAUGUUAUAGGUACACAGCUAAAGGGCUUUCAUAGAUUUCUGUUUUGGCAGCAGCCCUUCCUCUCCUACCCUUCAAUUCACAAAGAGAGAGAGGAGUCAAAAUGAAUUUGGAGGUUGGGAAGAAUGGCUGUGGAAUAAAUGAUGGGCCACAUCCAACUAAGUCACUGCAGGAGCAGAACAGAACUUAUGCAAUGAAGCUGCCCCCCCCAUGCCCCCACGCCCCCAAAUCUGCUCUGUGUUUCUUCCGCACAUCCCUCUGGAGUUUUGUAUAAAGUAGGGAUGUGCAGGGAGAGGAGAUGGAGAGGAAGUUCUGUUGCACCAUGACUUUGUUGGAUUCAACCCUUUAUAUAUUUACUUACCUAUAUACUACCUUCUACAUAACAACCUGAGGCAUAGCACAACAAAAAUAAAACAAGAAGUUGUUGUUGUUAUUUAGUCGUGUCCGACUCUUCGUGACCCCAUGGACCAGAGCAUGCCAGGCACUUCUGUCUUCCACUGCCUUCCGCAGUUUGGUCAAACUCAUGCUGGUAGCUUCGAGAACACUGUCCAACCAUCUCGUCCUCUGUCGUCCCCUUCUCCUUGUGCCCUCCAUCUUUCCCAACAUCAGGGUCUUUUCCAGGGAGUCUUCUCUGCUCAUGAGGUGGCCAAAGUAUUGGAGUCUCAGCUUCAGGACCUGGCCUUCCAGUGAGCACUCAGGGCUGAUUUCCUUAAGAAUGGAUCGGUUUGAUCUUCUUGCAGUCCAUGGGACUCUCAAGUCUCCUCCAGCACCAUAAUUCAAAAGCAUCAAUUCUUCGGCAAUCAGCCUUCUUUAUGGUCCAGCUCUCACUUCCAUACAUUACUAUUGGUAACGUACAAGAAGUUAACACAGUUUAAAACAUCUAAACAGCAGUAACAACACAAGGAAUAGUGACAAUGCAAAUCCUGAGGUGUCCAUAGCAGUUCCACCCAUGUGUGGCAUAUAUACUUAAUAUGGGUCUUCCAUCUGAUAUUUGAUAUAAACUGGUAUCUAUAUGCCACAGACAACAAAUACUGCAACUACUGGACGCUAUGUCUAUUCUCCUCCUACCCUUGAUUUUUUAAAACUGUUCAUCCAGUAUGAAAGAGUAAUGGCUGAAAUGUAAAAUACAUGGUUUAAUGUUCAAGUGGACUCAUGUGCAGUCAGUGAAAUACACACAGAGAGAGAGAGAGAGAGAGAGAGAGAGAGAGAGAGAGAGACUAAGGUUUACUCAACUAUUUGAGAGAUUUGGAAUUGUGGGGUUUUGUUUUUGUUUUGUUUUUUAAAAAAUCAGUUUGUGGUUUUUUAAAAUUACGAUUCUUUUCUGUUACAAAUUAUCAAAGAACAGUAAAACAAACAAAGCUAUCCUUCCCUCGCCCUCCCCAGGAAAUGAAAUUACUAGAUUACCGUGAAGCCAAGAACCAUUAGAAAAACACAAUUCCAGUUACUUAUCCAAAUGAAUAAACAAAUUAUAGAAUUACACUAGCCAGAAAAUUUUGUAGCGUGAGGAAAGUUCCACUGCAUCUUCUUUAGCUUUAUACAAAAUAAAGGUGUAGCAAUCCAUUGUAAAUGUGUCCUUUUGUAUCAAACCCAUUGCAAGAUUUAAUUGGUUAGUAAUUUUUCUACCCAAGUUAACUGCCAUGCUUUCUUUCACCAUGUGGCAAUGGAUGCUGCUACCAGAAAUUUCCAAUAUCUUGCUCCCAAUAGUAACUGACCAAUAAGAUGUCUGAAAUACAGGUUUGUGUUAUCUCCCAAGAAGAGGUUGAGUAAAGCCAGUUCCGAGGCUUUAAUGGUGUUUUGUCUUGUUGUGGCACUUGUUAUUGUUGUUGUUUAGUCAUUUAGUCGUGUCCGACUCUUCGUGACCCCAUGGACCAGAGCACGCCAGGCACUCCUGUCUUCCACUGCCUCCUGCAGUUUGGUCAAACUCAUGCUGCUAGCUUCGAGAACACUGUCCAACCAUCUCAUCCUCUGUCGUCCCCUUCUCCUUGUGCCCUCCAUCUUUCCCAACAUCAGGGUCUUUCCCAGGGAGUCUUCUCUUCUCAUGAGGUGGCCAAAGUAUUGGAGCCUCAGCUUCACGAUGUGUCCUUCCAGUGAGCACUCAGGGCUGAUUUCCUUAAGAAUGGAUAGGUUUGAUCUUCUUGCAGCUGUGGCACACAUUUCCCCAAAUACUGACUCCUAGAAUGUGACCACUUUUUGCAGUUCCCUCAAAGGUGUUGGUGUGACCCUAAGGAUGCACCCCCCCCCCAACAAGUUUGGAACUGAUACCGGCUACUCUGGCUGGUGCUAAGUGCCACUAUUGCAGAAUUUUAAAAGCAAUUUCCUUGGUACAGUAUAUUAUUAUAUCAACUCAUUAAAACUAUGUAACUUCUCAACAUUAUUUACAAAUUCAACCUGGCUGUGGGUUUUUUGCACCCACAAGCAGACUUUGAAGAAACUGACAAACACUUUUUCCGUGGGAACCAGGAACUACUAUGAUUUUUUGCUAGCACACAAAUAACAAAAAAUAUUGUAGGUGCGCAAAAGGAUUAUUUCCUCCAAGUUCUCCAUUCUCCAAAUAUCUAAAAGAGGCUCUACUGUGCCUCAAGACUAGCUGUUAGAUAUGCGCUCUGAAACUUAGAAAAUUGAACAUUGAGUUUCACAUAGUCCUGCAGAGUUCAAAUGAGCUACUGUAUGGCAGGGGUGGCCCCAGGACCACAUUCCUUCUGGACAACCUUCUGAGGGACACAUGACAGUGAAGCAAAAGUGGGUGGAACAAUUCAUGUAAAUGUAACCUUUGUAUAGUACACUACUUUCUAGACACACACACACACAGAGGACACAGGUGGCGCUGUGGUCUAUUACACACACACACACACACACACACACACACACACACACCUUUCUUUAUUCUUUACUCAAGUCAUUAACAGGGUUCAAGGACACAUUCCAUCCUGGCAAAAACACUCAGGGUAAGGUAAAGGACCCCUGGACAGUUAAGUCUAGUCAAAGGCAACUAUGGGGUGCAGCACUCAUCUCACUUUCAGGCUGAGGGAGCUGGCGUUUGUCCGCACACAGCUUUCCUGCUCAUGUAGCCAACAUGACUAAACUGCUUCUAGUGCAAUGGAACACUGGGACGGAAACCAGAGUGCACAGAAAUGCUGUUUAGCUUCCCACCGCAGCGGUACCUAUUUAUCUACUCACACUGGCAUGCUUUCCAGCUGCUAGGCUAGCAGAAGCUGGGACGGAGCAACGGGAGCUCACCCCAUCACACGGAUUCAAACUGCCGACCUUCUGAUCGGCAAGCCCAAGAGGCUCCAUGGUUUAGACCACAGCGCCGUCCGCAUCCCUCUACUCAGGGUACAAUGUAAUGUCAGUGAAAGGUGUGGCCUGGGAAGAGUUCAAAGGACCAGGCAGAGAGGCCUGGAGGGCCUCAUUCGGCGCUGGGCCUGAGGCUCCCUUCCCUUGCCCUAGAAAAACGGGUCCCUCCCAAAGAGAUAGCAGACCUCCAGCCUUCUGUUCUUCUGAUGCACACCACAGAAUAAGUUGAAAAUAGGCACCAGAAAAGUGAGAACAUGCAUGUACUUUCUUUGCUUGCCCCAUCAGGUUGUGCAUUUGCUUUGUGUAGGACAGAGACUCUCGCUCAGAUUAUAGAGCAGCAGCAGUGACAUAAUCAGCAUGCUAUCUGCAGAUGUUGCUGGCUUUUCUGAAGAAUAUUUUCCUUUGACCACAUCUGUAAAAAUCUUUCUCAAAAAGCAUGAAGUCACCCUCCUCGUUCAGUCACUGGAGCACAUCAUAUAUCCCAAACCAAUCUUCUAUGAUAACAUGCUCUAAAUUUAAACCUGAAGCUCAGGAAUUAAAUGGAGAGGCUUUUAUUAUUGGUCUCCAUACUGUGUAAUCUGGGUUCCACUGAGUACAAAGAAAUAUGAGCAGAUAGCAGAGGCAGAUGCACUAGAGGAAAGGGGCUUUUUAAAACUAAGCAGCUUUGUGUUGAAGCAGGGCCCUUUUGCUUUCAACUUUAAUAAAGGACUUGGGCUUGUAAUGAUUUCCAUCUGGGGACACUUCUGCUUUGGAAAAGGCAGUCAAGGAUCUCCAUCUCCAACUUAGUGAGCUGUAGGAUCAGCAGAGUCCCUCUCAUCAAUGAAAUGCUAGACCAGCUAUAUAAAAGUUUAUCGAUGUUCUGUCCACUAAAGGGUGUCACCCGGAAGAACCAAAAAGAGCUUGGCUGUUGGAUCAGGUCAAAGACCCACCUAGUCUAGCAUCCUGCUCCCACAUGGCCAACCAGAUGUCCAUGGGAUGCCCACAAGCAGCACCUGACUGCCACAGUGCUCUCCUCUCCCCAGUCACAAUUUCCAACAACUGGUUUUCAAAGGCAUACUGCCUCUGAGGGAGAACACAGCCCUCAUAGCUGGUAGCCAUCAACAGCCUAGUCCAGGCAUAGACAAACUUGGCCUUCCAGGUGUUUUGGGACCUCAACUCCCAUCAUCCCUAGCUAACAGGACCAGUGGUCAGGGAUGAUGGGAGUUGUAGUCCCAAAACAUCUGGAGGGCCGAGUUUGCCUGUGUCUGGCCUAGUCCUCUAAUGAUUUGUCAAUUCGUAGCCAGUACUAUGAGAGGGUGUUUGUACUCACAGCUGCAGCUCCUGUCAAGUGUCAGGAGUUAACAUGGGUGCUCUAACAGCCCUAUUCAGACAUUCAGUCUGGUCAUGGGAGUGAUAAAGGUGUGCAGGGGGGCAACUCUGAGCAUGAUGGCCCUGCCCUCGAUGCCUUCUGCAUGCUGGACAUGUCCUCACACACACACACACACACACACACACACACACACACACAUAUCUUUGGGUGUGUAGCACUAAGAUCUGAAGAUGGCUUCUGGACAUGUUCAGCUGUUUCUAGAUCAAACGGAGCCUUCUAACCACAACCAGCUGGACGUGGUUAACUGCCCUCUUCAGACCUUUGUGCUAAAUUCUCAGAUUUUGUUGGAGGAGAUGGAGCCAGCCCUCCCUAUGCACCCUUAGCCCAUCAGUCCAUCUCAUCACCAGGCUAAGUGCCUGAAGAGGUUAUGUAUUAUUUGCAUAUAUUUUCUAAAUUAUGGGUAGGUUACUGUAAAAGUCAUCAGAAGAUGCACCAUCCAUUGGUCUUAAUUGCAGCUGGCAUCCUUUAACCCAAAGGGAGAGUUUUCCACAUGUAAUGCCACAUGCUAUGAACUUGGCUCCAAGCAGAUUUAGAAUAAUUUCAGCUAUGCGGGCUUCCACGUGACAUAUUUCUUCCUCUGCCAACAAUGCCUUAACAAAACUGACAAGGGAUGGAAAGAAUUAAGAAAGCAAGAGAAGCCAUUCAUGUGUGCUGAUUGUCUGCUUGCCCAUCUCUACCACUUUCAUUCUUUUAAGGGUGUUUCAUUUUCUGCUCUCCUUAUAAUUCUCACUUAUCAUGUUUAUUUUCAUAAGAUAUAUAAGGCCAGGGCUGUCAUUUUUCUAAAAGGACCAUUUGAAAAUAUUUUACAUUAUUUUAAAAUGUUGCUUCCCUUAUGCAGGAAGCUAGGGUCAUCUUCUCUUUAACAAAGACAAUGUAGUAUACAGUAUAUCCUUUUCUUACCCCUUUCUGUAACUGGAAAGGAAGGCGAACGAUAUCUAGAGAACCCUGCUGGAUCACCCCAGAGGUCCUUCUCAUUCACGGCUCUCACGGUUACCUAUAAGAAGCCCAUAAGCAGGACAUAAGAGCAAAAGCCUUCUCCUUGGGAUUAGUUCCUUCAUUUAUAGUUAGCUGUAAUAUGAAAGGGAAAUUUUAUAAGGUCGUCUAGCAAUGAUACCGGCUAGCAAGCAAAGGUCACAACCGCCAGCACACUUACAUCCAUGCAACAUCCUUUGGACCACAACAUUUGCAUUCAUAAUGGUGAGAAAUGUGUUUUCUUCUUAAUUUUAUUUGUUUAUUAUUUAUUGAAUUUCUAUACCGCCCUAUACCCGCAGGUCUCAAGGCAGUUCACAGAAAAAAAUCAAAAUCUAAAACCACAAAAUAUGUAACCAAAAGAAAAGCAACAACAACCCAAUAACCCCUCCCUUUUCAGUGAAAUGUUUCUUGGUGCAGUCUCCUGUGUUAUGCAGUCAUGUUUUCUGAAAACCCACCUUUUCUGUAAAACCUUUGGCACAACGCCCUAGUUCCCAUGCCCUGAUGCAACUCAGCCUGACAGGGCCAGUGUCAAUAUCUGGCCGGGUGAGGCAAAUGCCAGGGACCAACACCAGCUUUUUAUUUUGAGGGGAGGUGAUGUUCUUAUGACCUGACACUGCAAAGAUCUGCAGUGGACUAGGUAGCUGUGCAGCCUCCGCCACCAUUAUCCCCAAUGAUAAUUGUCUGCCCUUCCCAAGUACACUAAAACCAUUUUGUAUUGCUCCCUGUGGAGCAGCAUGGCUGGUGCUGCAUUGCUCAACUGGUUUCAGAACACUGCAGCUCACUGCUUCUUACUAUGAAGUCAGCAGGGAGGUCAUCACAGUGCAGGUGCAGCAGCAAGAAUGUCAGAUUUGAUUGGCUCUGCUGCUGCACCCACACUGGCUGCUCUCUCCAACCACUGGCUGCUUUCUUGUCGUAAGCAGCAGUGGUGCAGGGUGUUCAGAAGCAGGAGAGCAAGAGUCUCACCCCCAAGCCAGCCAUUCCUCCCUUCCUUUUUUAAAAAAAUAUUUUUUAUUGAUUUUAACAUAUAAAUUAUAAAAUGUACCACAAAACUUAUCACUUAUACAAUCUUUUUAGACUUCCAUCAGCACCUCUGAUGACCCACCAUUUUAACCACUUCUUAUGCAUUUCUUAACUUUAUAUUGCCUUUACAUCUCUUAACAAAUCAUCCUUCCCCUUCUCCAUUUUUGCAAUACUUCCAAUAAUACUCCUCACAAAAUUUCUUGCAGAGCUACAAACGUCGUCUGAUCUUCACAAAUACUUUUCAAAUAGCCCAUAAAUUUACUUCAGUCUUCCGUGAAUUUCUGGUCCCGCCGGUGUUGAAUCCUUCCUGUUAGUUUAUCGCCAUUCCUCCCUUCCAGGGGUGUCUUACCCAUAUAGACCAGUGGCGCAGGGCACCAGGGCACCAGGGAAGAGGCAGAGGCUGGACGCAGCACCUCCUGGCAUCAGCUUGCUGCCCUCGCCCGCCUCCGCCAUGCUGCACCGAAGCAGCACUGCGCCGCGCCCAGAGCCUUUGUCUGCCGUGGCCACCCCCAUCUCUCCUCCCAACACACCCCAAAAUUGGGUCGGGAGAGGAGGGGUCAGGAGAACCUCCAGAACAGCAUGCAAGGAGAGGAGAGUGGGGGGACAAACUGAAAUGCUUGUACAAAUGGAAUGACUGGAAGAGCACAUCAUUUAAUUCCACCUGAUAUAUGUUGCAAUUUUUUUGCAAAGGUUAGUUGGAUCUGUGCUGUCAGUUCCACUGAGCAAGCAGUGAGAAAUAUGUUGUGCUAUUUUUCUAGAAAAAGUGAUGCUAAAAUUCACCAUAGAGACCUCCCUCAUUUUCUAAGAAUGGCAGUGGCACCUGUCUGAGAGGUGCCAGAACUGAGUUCUGGUGAGUUCUGGCUGAACAAAGUCCUGAUGUUGAGGCAUUAUAAGCUAAUCAAUGUGGACACACACCAGUCACAUAAUGUAUCAGCCAGGAUGCAAUCUUAAAACUGCAAUCUUACAUGCACUUACUCUGGCCAUACUAAGCUCAGCAGGACUUCCAAGCAAACCUGCAUAGGAUUAAGCUGCAUAGUAAAGUUUCAGUGAAGUGAAUAGGACUCUCCCCUGCGUCCAAUUAUAUACUCAAGGCAUUUGCAGCAGUAAGUCUUUAUGAGACUGCUACAAUAUUUCAAGUCAUUAAAAUGAAAUGUUUCCAAGGGUAUCAGGGCAACUGAAAGGCACAUUUUGUUUUGAAACACUAAUGUUGCAAAACGUUAGGCCCAUCCCAAGUUGUUCCUAGUUAUAAAUGAGGGUAUUACUUAGAAAGGCGGGGCUGGGGACCUGGGGAAACCUGGUUGUGAUAAAGAAACAUUUUCUUACACUGAUAAAUCACUAUUUUUGCAUUAGCUAAUACUUGGAAAGUAGUUUUAGAGUUCAGCCAUCAGUGUAGUUUAAUGUUACUGCAAUAGAUUUAAGAAUCAAUUACCUGUCACGAGGUCAGAAAAACUUGUAGCCCUGCAGCUGGGAUGUUUAGGACAGUGAAUACAGCUUGUGAGCCAGCUGUGCACAUAACAUUGUUUAGAUGUCCACCUAAGGGUUUUUGGGCGCAGGUGAAAAUGUAAAAUGUGAAUGUGAUCAAACAAACAGGGACAUUAUACAGUAUCAAACAGUGACGCUUAUCAGAAAAUCAUGCUGGGCAGCUCCAAGCUGAGUGUACUUUGAAAUCAUAGCAACUCCUGUACUUCAAAAAUAAAUGGAUUAUAUAUAUACUGCUUUGAAGCAGUAGAAAACACUGAUUCUCAUAAAAAAGGGAUACUCCCUUGCCUACUGCAGCCCUUUGUGCCUUGUCCCAUACAGUUCUGGAGGAACCAACCCAUAGAAGCAACUUUGAAGAGGGUGGCAUGGUGGGUAAGGGGGAAAUCAAUGACACACUGCAAAGCCAGUGUGUGUAUGGACAAAUACUUUGAACCAAAAGAAAAAAAUAUUGGGCUAGUCUUGUAACAGAAGCGUUGUGUAGCCAUCUUAGUUGGACUAUAGAUUGAGGGUGAUCCCCCCCCAUGUGGAUAUCUCUCACAUCAGUAUAUUAUGAUGGGGAAAGUGUUGGAUUUCAUAUGGAACAUACAUUAAAACACAUGAGGCCAGCUCAGAGCCGAUAGCUGGGUGCUGUGAGAAAUAGCCUUCUGCUCAUGUGCUCCUCAUUUCUCUUCUUCUUCCCCUUGUAUACUCAGUUUGUUACUUCCUCUGCUGUUGUUAUGUCUGAAGCUAUGCCAGUCCUACAAACCAGGACUGCUAACUAGCUUUGCAUGGCUUGCAAUCAUACUUUGGAGGAAAAUUACAAGCCUAGGUUGCUGCUAUGGAGGCAAUGGAAAAAUUGUGCUUUGUACUAAAUCAGAAGUAGCUAGAAGUAUGCCAAAGGAGGGGGCUGAGAGAAUGUGUGAUCGCAACAUUUGCUCCCAUAAUGCAGCCUUUGCCUGCCAGGUGCCUUCCAGAUGUUUUGUACUCCGACUUCCAUCAGCCAGCAUGGGCGUUGUGGUUCAAAAUAUCUGUAAGGUGCUAGGUUGGUGAAGGCUGCCAUAGCGCUGAAGCCUGGCUUGGCAAUGCAGCUGAACUGAGCCACAGCCACUUUGAGGUGGCCAAUCCCAGUUUCCACAUACCAGCUGUAAAUCUGGAUUAAAUGAGAAGACAGGCUGGCAUUUUGAUUGCAAUAACAUCAUGCGGACACUGCGGGGGGGGGGACCUGUGUGCAUGAGAAUAAACACCCAUCUGGAAGCAUUCUCAAUAUUGUAAGGUUCAACACUGAUUUAAACUCCUUACCCAAAGUAGUAAAAUAUUAACAAGCAAGUCUUUAUUAUAUUGUUGCAAUCCACUGCCCAUCUCUGAGCAGUGAGAGAAUCCAGAGGUUCCCGUGUCCUUGGAAUGAGCUCAACGGAGACUGUGAUGUCCUUAGGAUAUAUGGCUUUAUUUACACUUAUAUACAAACUGUGCAAGUGAGAGUUUCCAAGGCAUGCUCUGGUUCAUGGGGUCACGGAGAGUCGAAAACGACUAAGACAACUAAACAACAACAACAAACUGUGCAUAGGAUGGAGGGGCUCAUAGCAUUAACACCUCACCAGAUCUUGCUUCCUCACUCUGUUGCCAGCAAGCCCCAAAUUCCAGCACAAAGCAGCACAGAACUAACCAUAUCUCUCCAUCCUCAGCUUCACAGUGUCUCCUCCUCUCCUCCAUUUACACAGCAAUACUUUCCAGCCCCGCCUGUUGCUUCUUUGUCACCUAGAUGCUACAAACUGAAACCCAACCUACCCCCUUCCGAGUGAGGCAGAGCACUAAAAGGGACCAUCUGGUCUUCAUCUACAAAGGAACCUGCUUGGCCAAUUCCUUAACCUCCCCCAAACUCAUAAUACGAUCAAAGAACUUCAAGACAUUUUCCACAUAUGUAUGUAUUACAAAAAAUAGAAUUAGUUUUUUAUGUAUUACAAAAAAUAGAAUUAGUUUUGUGGAAAGUUCUUUACUUUCUGAUGACAUGGAACAUCAGGAAGGGUGUGUCCACCAUCCCAAAAUACACCGUCCAACCAGUUUUGGUAGAGGCUAUUGGAGUGUGGUUUUAAUUUAGCUGGCUGUUUAUACCACUGCUGAGCCCAGCUCACCUGGAGUCAAUUGUCACCAUUUCAAAACACAACAAAAUGGAAGAAAUGUGUACUAAAACACCCUUCCCCUGUAAAGGCUGUAACCAUGGUACAGAAUGGCCCAAGUUAAAACUCCAGCUGUGUAAACUGUUUUAAUUCUGGACGAAACUUAAUUAUAGCAAGAGCCGAAAUCUGAUCCUCUGCCCUUCACCAUAUAUAUUCCUCCUUUUUAAAGGUUUAGAUUCCCUGAUUCUGAUUUCUUGAACUGGGCAGGUCUGCAAUAUAAAUAGAUUAAAGGCUUUCUAAAAAGAGGGGGUGGGUUGCAUUUUGCUAUCGUGCGAAGACGCACAGAGGCGCACACAGUACAUUUUAUGUUUUCUAUCCCGACUCUGUGCUUUCCCUGGUCAAUUCUGUAAGCCAGCGAAUUACCUGUUCCAUCGUGGAAGGUUCUCUCUCCAGGGCUUUUCUAAUGCUGAAUCUAUAAACCCUGAAAUAUCCCUUUCCAAAUCUCUUUCCCAGGAGUAAACAUUUGUAUAUCAGCCCAAGACCAAGAUGACAUAAUGUGACUGGACGGAUUUCAAGGACUUCCACUUUGAAAUUACUGCAUGGAUCUGUGUGCCUGAAGCACCGUUGCAGAAAGACAGCAAUCCAUUUCCCCACCUGGAAUAUGAACAGA
This 12817-nucleotide long non-coding RNA is filed under the name Podarcis lilfordi (Lilford's wall lizard). The record is from RNAcentral. Lineage: Eukaryota; Metazoa; Chordata; Lepidosauria; Squamata; Lacertidae.